UGGAGUUGAAUUUGGAGAAAUGUUAUAUUCAGGAGGAGGGGAUCAAACGAUUGGCCCCUGCAAUCCACAAGUGCAAAGUUCUAAGGCUGAAUGACAAUAACAUUGGAGAUACAGGAGUCAACAUUUUGUCUGCAUCAUUGGCUCAUUCGGAAUGCAAAACAAAGCGAUUGGAUUUGCAGGAUAACAAUCUGACAUUUGCUUGCAUUGAAGACCUGAGGAUGGCAUUUAAUCAGAGCA
This is a long non-coding RNA of Hemiscyllium ocellatum (epaulette shark), 237 nucleotides long. RefSeq lists it as uncharacterized. Lineage: Eukaryota; Metazoa; Chordata; Chondrichthyes; Orectolobiformes; Hemiscylliidae. The record is from RefSeq and is a predicted model, not a curated record. The transcript has 3 exons.